RNAcentral lists this ribosomal RNA (427 nucleotides) under uncultured bacterium. RNAcentral describes it as "partial 16S ribosomal RNA". It matches the Rfam family "Bacterial small subunit ribosomal RNA", at positions 354 to 796 of the family's 1533-position model. The record is from RNAcentral.
GUGGGGAAUAUUGCGCAAUGGGGGAAACCCUGACGCAGCAAUACCGCGUGAGUGAAGAAGGUUUUCGGAUCGUAAAACUCUUUUAUUGGGGAAGAAGAAGUGACGGUACCCAAUGAAGAAGUCCCGGCUAACUACGUGCCAGCAGCCGCGGUAAUACGUAGGGGACAAGCGUUGUCCGGAAUCACUGGGCGUAAAGGGCGCGUAGGCGGUUUUAUAAGUCAGAUGUGAAAGGUACCGGCUCAACCGGUGACGUGCAUUUGAAACUGUAAGACUUGAGGACUGGAGAGGCAAGUGGAAUGCCUAGUGUAGCGGUGAAAUGCGUAGAUAUUAGGAGGAACACCGGUGGCGAAGGCGGCUUGCUGGACAGAUACUGACGCUGAGGCGCGAAAGCGUGGGGAGCAAACAGGAUUAGAUACCCUGGUAGUCC